GACGAACGCUGGCGGCGUGCUUAACACAUGCAAGUCGAACGGAAAGGCCCUGCUUUUGUGGGGUGCUCGAGUGGCGAACGGGUGAGUAACACGUGAGUAACCUGCCCUUGACUUUGGGAUAACUUCAGGAAACUGGGGCUAAUACCGGAUAGGAGCUCCUGCUGCAUGGUGGGGGUUGGAAAGUUUCGGCGGUUGGGGAUGGACUCGCGGCUUAUCAGCUUGUUGGUGGGGUAGUGGCUUACCAAGGCUUUGACGGGUAGCCGGCCUGAGAGGGUGACCGGCCACAUUGGGACUGAGAUACGGCCCAGACUCCUACGGGAGGCAACAGUGGGGAAUAUUGCACAAUGGGCGGAAGCCUGAUGCAGCAACGCCGCGUGCGGGAUGACGGCCUUCGGGUUGUAAACCGCUUUCGCCUGUGACGAGGCGUGAGUGACGGUAAUGGGUAAAGAAGCACCGGCUAACUACGU
This 467-nucleotide ribosomal RNA is filed under the name uncultured bacterium. RNAcentral describes it as "partial 16S ribosomal RNA". It matches the Rfam family "Bacterial small subunit ribosomal RNA", at positions 28 to 506 of the family's 1533-position model. The record is from RNAcentral.